This 218-nucleotide long non-coding RNA is filed under the name Musa acuminata (dwarf banana). RNAcentral describes it as "long non-coding RNA (MACU_LNC002608)". The record is from RNAcentral. Lineage: Eukaryota; Viridiplantae; Streptophyta; Magnoliopsida; Zingiberales; Musaceae.
AUUUAUUGAGCAAGAGGUACUCGAAAGGGGAGAGUCGUUGUUCACAUUGAAGUGUUGUCAGUGGAUUAAGUUUUCUUGACAUGCAUGACACACACAAGUUUGCAGGUUUCACUGCAAUGUCAAAGAUUCUGACAUUGGUAACUGGAAGCUCAUUCUCUGAUUCCCAGAAUCCUCGCUCUCCAUGAAUCACGACGCAAUGCAAGGAUCUCCAAAAAAAA